GACGAACGCUGGCGGCGUGCUUAACUCAUGCAAGUCGAACGCUGAAGCUCAGCUUUUGUUGGGUGGAUGAGUGGCGAACGGGUGAGUAACACGUGAGUAACCUGCCCCCUUCUUUGGGAUAACGCCCGGAAACGGGUGCUAAUACUGGAUAUUCACUGGUCUUCGCAUGGGGGUUGGUGGAAAGGGUUUUUCUGGUGGGGGAUGGGCUCGCGGCCUAUCAGCUUGUUGGUGGGGUGAUGGCCUACCAAGGCUUUGACGGGUAGCCGGCCUGAGAGGGUGACCGGUCACAUUGGGACUGAGAUACGGCCCAGACUCCUACGGGAGGCAGCAGUGGGGAAUAUUGCACAAUGGGCGCAAGCCUGAUGCAGCGACGCCGCGUGAGGGAUGGAGGCCUUCGGGUUGUGAACCUCUUUCGCUCAUGGUCAAGCCGCAACAAUGGUUGUGGUGAGGGUAGUGGGUAAAGAAGCGCCGGCUAACUACGUG
Molecule: ribosomal RNA, 483 nt
Filed under: uncultured bacterium
Lineage: Bacteria
Description: partial 16S ribosomal RNA
Rfam family: Bacterial small subunit ribosomal RNA
Source: RNAcentral